AGCAUAAAAUCAAUUUUUGCUUUUAGUACUAGCCAUCAUAACAAUUUAAGAAAAAUAACUGAUAAUAUUAUCAUACAUAAAGAUUUUGAGGAAUUAGCACAAUACAUACCUCCUAGAAAAUACCAAGAACAUGAAGUCACUAUACCAGAACAAAUAAUGCUUGAUUUCCAUAAACAAGCUAGAGAAAUUAACUCUGAAGGAAAAAUAAUAAGAAGAAAUAGUGUCAGCUUAGAAGGAGAUAAUCUUAUUGCAAGAUUUCCCUCGAGACAAGACCCUAAGAUAAGCAGACUUAAGAAUCUA
Molecule: long non-coding RNA, 300 nt
Filed under: Olea europaea (common olive)
Lineage: Eukaryota; Viridiplantae; Streptophyta; Magnoliopsida; Lamiales; Oleaceae
Description: long non-coding RNA (OEUR_LNC012748)
Source: RNAcentral